GCCAGCAUGGAGUGGACUGACUGACUCCUGGGGAUUGGUACUGGAAAAACUAAGCCCAAAUUCUUAAAGGAGGACUGAAAGACUUUGAACUGCUUUUGAAAUGGAUAACAGUUUAAGAAUCCUCAAGUCUAAGAAAUGCAUUCAAAGUCCAGUCCAGCGCCUUCGGGAUUAAAACAACAGGACAGGCUAAUGUGGAAAUCAAGGUCACACCUCUCUGCAGCGUCAUCUUUUCGCGUCUCAGCCCACUGUCCAGUCCUGGACCAUGGGAAUACUCUCUCACAGCAAUCAGUCACUGGUGUGGACCACAGGACCAUGGACCACAGGUCUGCUCUAGUGCCCUCACCUGGCACCAUCCAGCCAUUGCACCUGCUCAUCAUUCUAACCUGAAACCCAGCAGGACAGAGAAAAGAAAAUGAUUAACAAUUAACAAGGUUGAUGGAAGAAGUUUGGUUCGAACAUUAGAGUAAUGGAGGAGGUUCCACACUUUUAUUUUCAUUGGAAAGCUGUGUUUCAGUUCUUCGUCAUCUGCUUGGCAAAAAUAUUAGUACAUUUACUUUCAAUUCUCUGUAAAUUGUCUGCAUCUAGCUAUCUAUUGAUUUGAUAGGAAAAACCUUGGCUUACCUCUUGUCACGCCCUGGCCUUAGUAUGUUGUGUUUUCUUUAUUAUUUUGGUCAGGCCAGGGUGUGACAUGGGUGAUUUGUGUG
Oncorhynchus tshawytscha (Chinook salmon) is the source of this 704-nucleotide long non-coding RNA. RefSeq lists it as uncharacterized. Lineage: Eukaryota; Metazoa; Chordata; Actinopteri; Salmoniformes; Salmonidae. The transcript is spliced from 3 exons. The record is from RefSeq and is a predicted model, not a curated record.